CAGUGGGGAAUAUUGCACAAUGGGCGGAAGCCUGAUGCAGCGACGCCGCGUGGGGGAUGAAGGCCUUCGGGUUGUAAACUCCUUUCGACAGGGACGAAGCUUUUGUGACGGUACCUGUAUAAGAAGCACCGGCUAACUACGUGCCAG
Molecule: ribosomal RNA, 147 nt
Filed under: uncultured bacterium
Lineage: Bacteria
Description: partial 16S rRNA
Rfam family: Bacterial small subunit ribosomal RNA
Source: RNAcentral